RNAcentral lists this transfer RNA (76 nucleotides) under Flavobacteriaceae bacterium. RNAcentral's name for it is "tRNA-Gly". It matches the Rfam family "tRNA". Rfam says of the family: Transfer RNA (tRNA) molecules are approximately 80 nucleotides in length. Lineage: Bacteria; Pseudomonadati; Bacteroidota; Flavobacteriia; Flavobacteriales; Flavobacteriaceae. The record is from RNAcentral.
GCGGGAAUAGCUCAGUUGGUAUAGCACAACCUUGCCAAGGUUGGUGUCGCGAGUUCGAGUCUCGUUUCCCGCUCCA